GACGAACGCUGGCGGCGUGCUUAACACAUGCAAGUCGAACGGUGAAGCUCCAGCUUGCUGGAGUGGAUCAGUGGCGAACGGGUGAGUAACACGUGAGCAACCUGCCCCUGACUCUGGAAUAAGCGCUGGAAACGGCGUCUAAUACUGGAUACGAGAAGGGUCCGCAUGGGCACUUUCUGGAAAGUUUUUCGGUUGGGGAUGGGCUCGCGGCCUAUCAGCUUGUUGGUGAGGUAAUGGCUCACCAAGGCGACGACGGGUAGCCGGCCUGAGAGGGCGACCGGCCACACUGGGACUGAGACACGGCCCAGACUCCUACGGGAGGCAGCAGUGGGGAAUAUUGCACAAUGGGCGAAAGCCUGAUGCAGCGACACCGCGUGAGGGAUGACGGCCUUCGGGUUGUAAACCUCUUUCAGCAGGGAAGAAGCGAAAGUGACGGUACCUGCAGAAGAAGCACCGGCUAACUACGUG
RNAcentral lists this ribosomal RNA (468 nucleotides) under uncultured bacterium. RNAcentral describes it as "partial 16S ribosomal RNA". It matches the Rfam family "Bacterial small subunit ribosomal RNA", at positions 28 to 507 of the family's 1533-position model. The record is from RNAcentral.